Molecule: non-coding RNA, 583 nt
Organism: Salvelinus sp. IW2-2015
Lineage: Eukaryota; Metazoa; Chordata; Actinopteri; Salmoniformes; Salmonidae
Source: RefSeq, a predicted model, not a curated record
UAGGCUUUCAUUGAAAAUAAGAUUUGUUCUUAACUGACUUGCCUAGUUAAAUAAAGGUUAAAAAAAAAUAUGAGAAUCAAGUUCUGAAAUUCUAUGUUCUGAUUCUAUGCUUCCGUUGUUCUGAUGUACCAAGCAGUUCUGUUUGGAAUGUUCUGAAUGUUGGACCUGAACGGUGUUUCUUCACCUGCAUCGUGGACAUGCUGGAUUUGUUUUGCUUUGAAAACAGACACCAGAAACGUGACGACAGGAAAUGGGACGUUAUGUAUUAUUCAUGUGAAUACCAUUGAUAGACUGAAGCCCAACUGAUAUUUCACCACACCGUGGUAGUUUCUAGAACUAACUGUUAUUUCACCCUAUCACACUAGUUUUAAUGUACACUUACCAGGUAACCCCAACUAGUUUACUGUACACUUACCAGGUGACGUCCAGCAGUGUAAAUGGCGUGCAUCUCCUCUUCCUGUCACCAGCUGUGUUCUCCCUCUCUCCCAAAGCAACAUGGAAACAUAGUGUUUCCUGUAUUCUAAACCCUCCUCCUCCCUUUCUCCCUCGGUCAAUAUGAAAAUAAAACCCCAUUUUACAAAUG